AACGAACGCUGGCGGCAUGCCUAACACAUGCAAGUCGAACGAGACCUUCGGGUCUAGUGGCGCACGGGUGCGUAACGCGUGGGAACCUGCCCUUAGGUUCGGAAUAACUCCCCGAAAGGGGUGCUAAUACCGGAUAAUGUCUUCGGACCAAAGAUUUAUCGCCUUUGGAUGGGCCCGCGUUGGAUUAGCUAGUUGGUAGGGUAAAAGCCUACCAAGGCGACGAUCCAUAGCUGGUCUGAGAGGACGAUCAGCCACACUGGGACUGAGACACGGCCCAGACUCCUACGGAAGGCAGCAGUGGGGAAUAUUGGACAAUGGGCGAAAGCCUGAUCCAGCAAUGCCGCGUGAGUGAUGAAGGCCUUAGGGUUGUAAAGCUCUUUUACCCGGGAUGAUAAUGACAGUACCGGGAGAAUAAGCUCCGGCUAACUCCGUG
Molecule: ribosomal RNA, 433 nt
Filed under: uncultured bacterium
Lineage: Bacteria
Description: partial 16S ribosomal RNA
Rfam family: Bacterial small subunit ribosomal RNA
Source: RNAcentral